Long non-coding RNA from Alligator sinensis (Chinese alligator), 559 nucleotides. RefSeq lists it as uncharacterized. The record is from RefSeq and is a predicted model, not a curated record. NCBI's taxonomy places the organism in Eukaryota, Metazoa, Chordata, Crocodylia, Alligatoridae. The transcript is spliced from 3 exons.
UCUUGUUUCUUUCCCUCUGUGUUUUUCCUUUUUGAGUCUCUGGUUUUAAUGCUUGGCUCCAACUCCACCCUCUGGUCCUGAUAGGGCCUCUGGCAGGAUUAUGAUCCCAGUUAACCUUUGGCUUACCCUAUUUCUAGCUCUGGCUUUUGAUUCUGGGGUUUGAAUUACUGUGGUUGUUAUGAUGAUGCCAGUGUCAUCUGUUCAGAGGCCCUUGCACUGGCUAGAGGUGUCACUGAAAAUGGUUAUGAUGAAGCUGGAGAAGUUCCUGAUCUUCCAGAUUUUCCUGUUUCUGGUAUCAAUGGUGUCCCAGCAGAAAGAGAGGUGAACCUACAGACUUACAGGGACUCACAGAUAGAACGGAGCAUGCCCUGGCUUAGAAGUGAAGGAAUCUUUGAGCUUGUGCAAGAUGACCCAGCCCUUCUUCCUGGAGACACAGGUUAUGAUGAUGUUGAAGACGGCAUCUCUGUGUCAUCACCUUAAGAAUGGAUUUGUGCUGAGAUAAUAUCCCGUGGGAGUGUAAAUGCAGUAUGAUCAGCAGCCUUCUGUCCAAAAUACACAC